This 348-nucleotide ribosomal RNA is filed under the name Triticum aestivum (bread wheat). Its description in RNAcentral is "partial small subunit ribosomal RNA". Lineage: Eukaryota; Viridiplantae; Streptophyta; Magnoliopsida; Poales; Poaceae. The record is from RNAcentral.
AUGAAAACACAAACGCAAUCAAGUUGGGUGGUGCAUGCAUGUGUUGUUAGGUGUUUUUCCGGUAGCUGCCGGUGCCGGAUCCAUCCAUGGCUGAUGCCUGAGUGUCAUUCGGCGCCGGAAGGCCGGUCCACUCCUCCCCAUGCAUGGUCCAUUUCAUCAAAGCAGAUUACAACAACAAGCUGCCCAAACAGUUGCUCCUACAGUAGUAGCCUAGCCUCUUCCUCUUCCUCUUCUUCCUCCUCUCUGAAUCAUAAAAGAAUCGCAAAAGCGAAGCUUCCUCCACUUCCUCCAUCUCUUCAUUUGCAUUUGCAUACAUCAUAUACGAGCUUUCUUUACUCACACCACUAG